Molecule: ribosomal RNA, 301 nt
Filed under: uncultured bacterium
Lineage: Bacteria
Description: partial 16S ribosomal RNA
Rfam family: Bacterial small subunit ribosomal RNA
Source: RNAcentral
CAGUCGCCGCGGUAAAACAGAGGGUGCAAGCGUUAAUCGGAAUUACUGGGCGUAAAGCGCGCGUAGGUGGUUUGUUAAGUUGGAUGUGAAAUCCCCGGGCUCAACCUGGGAACUGCAUCCAAAACUGGCAAGCUAGAGUAUGGUAGAGGGUGGUGGAAUUUCCUGUGUAGCGGUGAAAUGCGUAGAUAUAGGAAGGAACACCAGUGGCGAAGGCGACCACCUGGACUGAUACUGACACUGAGGUGCGAAAGCGUGGGGAGCAAACAGGAUUAGAUACCCGUGUAGUCCCUGUCUCUUAUAC